Molecule: transfer RNA, 73 nt
Filed under: Candidatus Aenigmatarchaeota archaeon
Lineage: Archaea; Nanobdellati; Candidatus Aenigmatarchaeota
Description: tRNA-Gln
Rfam family: tRNA
About the family: Transfer RNA (tRNA) molecules are approximately 80 nucleotides in length. Their secondary structure includes four short double-helical elements and three loops (D, anti-codon, and T loops).
Source: RNAcentral
AGCCCCGUCGUCUAGCGGUCAAGGACGCAGGCCUCUGGAGCCUGAGACGGCGGUUCGAAUCCGCCCGGGGCUA